RNAcentral lists this ribosomal RNA (815 nucleotides) under uncultured Actinomycetes bacterium. RNAcentral's name for it is "bacterial SSU rRNA". It matches the Rfam family "Bacterial small subunit ribosomal RNA", at positions 335 to 1167 of the family's 1533-position model. The record is from RNAcentral. Lineage: Bacteria; Bacillati; Actinomycetota; Actinomycetes.
ACUCCUACGGGAGGCAGCAGUGGGGAAUCUUGCGCAAUGGACGAAAGUCUGACGCAGCAACGCCGCGUGAGGGACGAAGGCUUUCGAGUUGUAAACCUCUUUCGACAGGAACGAUUGUGACGGUACCUGUAGAAGAAGCACCGGCCAACUAUGUGCCAGCAGCCGCGGUGAUACAUAGGGUGCGAGCGUUAUUCGGAUUUAUUGGGCGUAAAGAGCUCGUAGGCGGUUCGACAAGUCGGGUGUUAAACCCCCAGGCUUAACCUGGGGCCGCCACCCGAAACUGUCGUGACUAGAGUUUGGUAGGGGAUCACGGAAUUCCUGGUGUAGCGGUGGAAUGCGCAGAUAUCAGGAGGAACACCAGUAGCGAAGGCGGUGAUCUGGGCCAAUACUGACGCUGAGGAGCGAAAGCGUGGGGAGCGAACAGGAUUAGAUACCCUGGUAGUCCACGCCGUAAACGGUGGGCACUAGGUGUGGGGACUUUUCAACGGUUUCCGCGCCGCAGCUAACGCAUUAAGUGCCCCGCCUGGGGAGUACGGUCGCAAGACUAAAACUCAAAGAAAUUGACGGGGGCCCGCACAAGCAGCGGAGCAUGUGGCUUAAUUCGAUGCAACGCGAAAAACCUUACCUAGAUUUGACAUGCUGGGAAAAGCCACAGAGAUGUGGUGUCCUUCGGGGCUCAGCACAGGUGGUGCAUGGCUGUCGUCAGCUCGUGUCGUGAGAUGUUGGGUUAAGUCCCGCAACGAGCGCAACCCUUGUUCUAUGUUGCCAGCACGUAAUGGUGGGGACUCGUAGAAGACUGCCGGGGUCAACUCGGA